This 67-nucleotide small RNA is filed under the name uncultured Catenibacillus sp. RNAcentral describes it as "Streptococcus sRNA SpF59 (ldcC RNA)". It matches the Rfam family "Streptococcus sRNA SpF59 (ldcC RNA)". Lineage: Bacteria; Bacillati; Bacillota; Clostridia; Lachnospirales; Lachnospiraceae. The record is from RNAcentral.
UGACCACCUGCGCCGGAGUCGCCGGCCUACAGGUUAAGGCCAUACGGACAGCCGGGUCAGCUGCCGA